UGAGUCCUACGGGGCGCAGCAGUGGGGAAUAUUGCGCAACGGGCGCAAGCCUGAACGAGCGAUGCCGCGUGAGUGAAGAAGGCUUUCGGGUCGUAAAGCUCUGUUGCGGGGGAAAAAAGGCAGCAUCAGGAAAUGGGUGCUGACUGAUGGUGCCCCGCCAGAAAGUCACGGCUAACUACGUGCCAGCAGCCGCGGUAAUACGUAGGUGGCGAGCGUUAUCCGGAAUGAUUGGGCGUAAAGGGUGCGCAGGCGGUCCUGCAAGUCUGGAGUGAAACGCAUGAGCUCAACUCAUGCAUGGCUUUGGA
RNAcentral lists this ribosomal RNA (305 nucleotides) under uncultured bacterium. Its description in RNAcentral is "bacterial SSU rRNA". It matches the Rfam family "Bacterial small subunit ribosomal RNA", at positions 333 to 630 of the family's 1533-position model. The record is from RNAcentral.